This 305-nucleotide ribosomal RNA is filed under the name uncultured bacterium. RNAcentral's name for it is "partial 16S ribosomal RNA". It matches the Rfam family "Bacterial small subunit ribosomal RNA", at positions 508 to 808 of the family's 1533-position model. The record is from RNAcentral.
ACAGCAGUCGCCGCGGUAAUACGUAGGUCCCGAGCGUUGUCCGGAUUUAUUGGACGUAAAGCGAGCGCAGGCGGUUAGAUAAGUCUGAAGUUAAAGGCUGUGGCUUAACCAUAGUACGCUUUGGAAACUGUUUAACUUGAGUGCAAGAGGGGAGAGUGGAAUUCCAUGUGUAGCGGUGAAACGCGUAGAUAUAUGGAGGAACACCGGUGGCGAAAGCGGCUCUCUGGCUUGUAACUGACGCUGAGGCUCGAAAGCGUGGGGAGCAAACAGGAUUAGAGACCCGCGUAGUCCCUGUCUCUUAUACA